This 200-nucleotide ribosomal RNA is filed under the name Steinernema sp. SGas1. RNAcentral describes it as "partial 18S ribosomal RNA". It matches the Rfam family "Eukaryotic small subunit ribosomal RNA". The record is from RNAcentral. Lineage: Eukaryota; Metazoa; Nematoda; Chromadorea; Rhabditida; Steinernematidae.
CAACGUUUGAUAUACGUGUGUCUGCCUUGUACACACCCSCSGUCGCUGCCCAGGUACUGAGUUAUUUCGAGAAAAGCGGGGAUUGCGCUUUGUACUUUUUCGGAAGUGCAUUGCUGUGCGAACCGCGUUAAUCGAAACGGCUUGAACCGGGCAAAAGUCGUAACAAGGUUUCCGUAGGUGAACCUGCGGAAGGAUCAUUA